Molecule: RNA transcript, 2348 nt
Organism: Hevea brasiliensis (rubber tree)
Lineage: Eukaryota; Viridiplantae; Streptophyta; Magnoliopsida; Malpighiales; Euphorbiaceae
Gene name: heterogeneous nuclear ribonucleoprotein 1
Exons: 6
Source: RefSeq, a predicted model, not a curated record
CAUUCCAACUUUGUUAUUUUUACACGAGGCGAGAGGAUAGCCAAACCUCUCUCCCUUUCUUUCUCUAUCGCUAUAUAUAAAUAUUUUCUUGCAAACCUAUUUCUUCGCUCUCACAUCUCUGUCUCUCCUUCUUCCUCCAUACAUAAAAUCUUAAUAUCAUUAGACCUUGUAAUAAUAUCCAAUUGAAUUGUUCACAGUAAUUGCACAGAGAGACAGAGAGGGAGAGAGCAGAAACAGAGGGCCUUUCUCGCCCUCUCUUCUUGUUAUGCCUCCUCUCAGAUCUUAGAUUCUCUUAGUUUUUCUUUUUCUUCGGAAUCCUGAUCGCUGGUUGAUCUUUGAUCAGUUAAAGUUGUAUUAUGCUUUUGGAUUGAAUCCAAGAGUACCCAUUUCGUAAAUAUCUGUAAAUAUUCAAGCUUUGUUUUAUUAUUUUUUUUUACCAGAAAUGAAAAUGGAGCUUGGAAAGCUAUUCAUUGGUGGGUUAUCAUGGGACACAAAUGAAGACCAACUUAGAGAGUAUUUUCAGGCUUUUGGCGAAGUAGUGGGUGCUGUGAUAAUGAAGGAUCGAGCUACUGGUCGUGCCCGUGGCUUUGGUUUUGUUGUGUUUGCAGACCCUGCCGUUGCUGAGAGAGUUGUGAUGGAAAAACAUUUGAUAUACGGGAGGAAUGUUGAAGCAAAGAAGGCAGUUCCUAGGGAGGAUCAAAACAUUGUGAAUAGAAACAGCAACAGCAGCAUACAUGGUUCAGCAGGUCCAGCUCGUACAAAGAAGAUAUUUGUAGGAGGUUUAGCAUCUACAGUCACAGAGACUGACUUUAAGAAGUACUUUGAUCAGUUUGGGAUAAUUACAGAUGUUGUGGUUAUGUAUGACCACAACACUCUAAGGCCAAGAGGUUUUGGAUUUAUUACUUACGAUUCAGAGGAAGCUGUGGAUAAAGUGUUGCACAAAACCUUUCAUGAACUCAAUGGUAAAAUGGUUGAGGUCAAGCGGGCUGUCCCUAAAGAACUAUCACCAGGGCCAACUCGGAGCCAGUUAAGUGGGUAUAAUUAUGGUGCAAGUAGAGUUGGUGGCUUCCUGAAUGGUUACAGUCAGACUCAGGAAUACAAUACAAGUUCUGCUGGAGGAUUUGGUGUUAGAAUGGAUGGUAGGUUUAGUCCUGUUACUGUUGGUCAGAGUAACUUUUCUCCAUUUGGUCCUGGUUCUGGGAUGAGGCUGAAUUUUGAGCCAGGGUUGAGUCCUAGUUAUGGGGGAAAUUCAAACAUUAACCUUGGCUAUGGGAGAUUGAGCCCUUCAUAUAGUGGAAAUUCCAGCAGGUAUUGUAGCCCUAUUGGAUAUAAUGGAGUCAAUGGUGGAAAUACUUCUGCCUUAAGUUCGACUGCUCGAACUUCAUGGAGUAAUGGAAGUAUUAAUCAUGCUUCAGACUCCACAAAUUCUAGUACUGUUGUGGGCUCUGGAACUGGGAAUUCAGGAAUGGGUUCUUUUGGCAGUAUUGGCAGACUCUGGGGAUCCUCGGUUAAUUCUGGACAAGGUGGAGGUACUGGCUCUGCCUAUGGCAGAGGCAGUCUUAGCUACAAUUGGGGAGAUUUCAAUGUUGGUCUUGGAGGGGUAGGAUAUGGAAGAAACAGUGGGACAAGUGCUGCGCUAGUUUCAUCUCAUGCUGCAUCACAUGAUGAUCAUGAUGUACCUUGUGCAGAUAUUUAUGAUAAUGGCUUGUUGUAUGGGGAUUCUGCAUGGCGAUCUUCGCCUUUAGGGCUAGAGGGUUCUGGCUCAUUUGGUUUCGGGCUUGGAAAUGCAGCUACAGAUGGUGUGACUAAAAUUGCUGCUGGUUAUACUGAUGGUUAUAGUGUUGCCAAUAGACAAGCAAAUAGAGGUAUUUCAAACUCAAAUUCAAAAUAGGUUCACAAUCAUGAACCAACUCAAAGAUUCAUGGACGUUGUCAAUUGAAGGAAACCCAUGUAGUAUCUAUCAAAAUUUCCCACUUUCAAACCCCUUAGUCCAAAUACAAUGAAUUGCCGCUUAGGAUUAUUAUGAUGUGAAUGUGAAGAGGUUAUUGUAGGUGAAGCAUAUCAGAUUAAGUGAAUUACGUACACUUUCCUUGCCUGAUGUUUCAGUUUAUAAGAGAACUUUAUUAGAGCUGAUCAUUUUGCCUGUUUUGAUGAAUUUAUCGAAGAGUGCAGCCGGUAGGAGUUCUGUGUAAGGUUUGAGCUUUUGAUGUUUUUAUGGUAUAGGUUUUCCUUUCUUGGAAUUUAAUUAAAUGUAAAAUCAUGUGUUGUGGCGUGUAAACAGAAUUACUGUAUCAUGCAUCUCUGGUGACACAGUGAUACACAAAAGAAUGAACAUUUUUUUUUUCUUU